ACGAGGGGGGUGACGACGGCGAGGUGUCCUUCACCAUGAAUGAGACCAACGGAUGGAUCUGGGAGCGUGGCCUCAUCGUGCAGGGCAUCGAGUUCAGACGUAAGAAACCAGGCUGAGUGAGGAGCCCCUAGGAGUCAACUCGCCCGGGUCAAUGUAAGUGAAUAAUAAGGAAAGUAUAUCUUCUGUAAUGUGUGUUUUUGAACACCUCUCCUUUCGCUGCUAAAGCAUAUAUAUCUGUACAUACUAUGCUACCUAGAUGGCUGAUGAAGUGAUGAGGGUUUGCUAGAUGACUCAUGCCGUCGUAGGCCUUGGUUAAGCAGAUUUACAUCAUCUGGUUAAUAAUAUGGCUGCAUGCAUCGAUUGAUGCAGAGGCCGGAGGUCAACCUCCUUUACAAAAGCAAAAAAGAAUCAUUUGGUUAUGUGAGAUGCUUGUGCCUGGUGGCUACUUGGCAUCUGUUUAUGCUGAGAUCCUUGUGGCUAAUUUGCAUCUGGUUUCUUUUGUCCGCAAUGCACAGAAGGUUCUUCUCUAUCUAGAAAGAUAGAUGAAGUGCUAAAAUGUCAUACGUUUUCACUCACAUCUGGAUGCCUUUUACUGAGAAUAUACACAAAAGGGUUGCGUACCUAUAAGGACAGAUAGAUUACAUGUUCGACAGUUCAUGCACUGCUUUUCUGGAAUAGACAAGGAACGAAAAGGUCAGAAUUUUACUAGGAAAGCCGAUAAUUCAAUUCAGAACGGGGCUCAUCUACACCCGACAGUAAAAUCGCAAUAAAUAGUAAAAAAUUAAAAAAAAAUCUGAAACUAGUUUGCACGCAAGAUGCUUGAGUGUGCCUGGUGGGUAAAAAAGCUCAUGUGAAAAUGACAUUCAAGGAGCUAGUGCCACAAAUGACGAAAUCGACUAAGAACAGUGUGUUUUUCAAACUUUUUCACAUUUUUGAAAUUUGUCCUUUUUGCCACGAAUAUCCAAACUUCACCAAAUAUGGCACGAUUCGACCAUCUUGCACAACAAUAUAUUUCAGAAGUUCUUAAAAUUUUCUGCCAUUCCAAAUGAUUUUACUGUUCACCCCGUGACUAACUGGACCUGGGUGCUAGGAAAGGCAGAAAAGCUUCUUCUACGCACGGCGUUCACUUGUAUGCAUAUCCACACCACUUAUAUGCAUCUGGAAUUCUGGAUCAUGAAUCGGCAUUUAAGAUGCCAUGUAUAGCAAAUAUGCUGUUGAAACACUAGCAGUAUACUGGCAGUAUUCCACCCCUGCAGACGGUCGUAUUGGCACACCUCCGGUACUGGAUUCCUAGAUGGAACCACCACGCGAAUGACCGUUCAGGUACUAGUUACACUAGUCCAGGUUGCAUGUUGUACCAAGAACUGAUAUAAAAUCCGUUCCGAUUUGAAGUUCAAAAAAACUUAGUAACCACCGUCGGAUAGCCACACUCAACCGCCCAACAAGGACUGCUUUUGUUUUUCCAGACGGCUUCUACUUACUGCGUCAAUUCCAAAUUCCCAAAUAUGUACAACGUCUUUUUCCACGUGUUUUAUGUGUGUUCAUCAUUCUCUUUUGUUUUAGCGCCAAGCGGGUAAUCAUAAGAACUAAACAAACAGGAAAAUCAUGACGGGAUAGUCACCAUGUUGCCACGAACUUACCAAUGUCAGGCAUAAAGCAAUUAGCAAAAGGAAACACAUGACUAAAUAUGGGUAUUUAAAAAAACUGAGGAGAAAAUAUGGGUUUUAAUAGUUCGAAGCUGCCAACUCUUACAGUUUUGAUGAAAAACAUUGGCAUCGACUGGUGGCAUGGGCUAGCAUUUCGAUUGAAGCCCAGUUAUCAAAGGGAAAAAUGUUCAAAAACAGCCGGAUGAUUUUGGGGCUUCGUCAGCCGCGUCAGGCGCCGUGCGAUCGCACGCCAUUGUGUGGUGUGGAGCCUCUGUUCUCCACGUGACGUCUAUAGUGACGCCUGAAGCUAUGAUUGUUAACAGAUUUUUUUAUUUGGAGGUAAUAUCACGGGGAGUCAUAGAACUUGCACUCGAUGUUCAGUUUGGUGCUAGAACUUUGAAAAUACGAAAUUGCAGUCACUCAACUUGACUCAAGCGUGCACAUAUGGUCACAAAAUACGUAUAUUGAUGUAUCGGUGUGUAUGGCCCCACCUAUCAUUGAUUGGAGGUGCUUGACCGAGAGUUUUUUGCACAAAACACCCUUGCAAUUUUCUAUUCAUGGGAAAAGUCGACCACCACGAUGUAUUUUUGCUCAAAACCACUUCAUGGUUUUUUAUUUGUAGGAACGUCAAACACUGUAUUACGAAAAUUAACGCGAAAAAUAGGGCGCACAAGGUCUGGAAUGCACUACCGGGGAUUACCACACUAGCAAGUCUAAACACUACACCAAUCACAUUCACAUGCCUGCUAAAAGUCUAUAUGUGCUGGUACAUGUCCCACCUGUUAUUAUAGAAUGGAAAUUAACAUAAUCAAAAUUCAUAUAAAUAAGUGUAGCUAUCAAGUCUCCAACUCACGACCAGAGGCUAGCACAAAAGAAACCCUGGCCACAACAACAUGCACCUGUAUAUGUCGAUAAUUGAUAACUAGCGAGAUAUAAAUUUAAAUUCCUUUUUUAGCGAAGGAUAUGAAUUUAAUAAGACAAAGGCACCCGUGCAGCCCAUUUUGCACCUGUUCGAUAUUUUAGAAAUUUAAGAUGUAAAUUAUAAUUUCAGUAAUAAACAUAAUCUUUAAAUAUUUGUGUGUUAUAAAAAUUGUACAUACAAAUGAAUAACCUACUUUCAAAAAACAUUAUAUAUGAUUUAAAACUAUUCUAUAUUUAUAUUAAUAUUUAUGAAUAUGCGCACUAAUUUGGGCUAUAUGGAACUGCAGAAAUGAUAUGAUAUUUAACAGAAAAAAAUUAUAAACUUUUUGCAGGUUAUUUACAGAGCUAUAGCAUGGAUCUGUACGUGGUCGUUAGUCGUUACUCACUCAUACAGACUCCAGGGAGCUUUUGGUUACUGGAUGCAACAGAUGGAAGACGGUGGCAUGGGAUAUCUAUAAUCGGUUUGGAUGAAGGUCCAAUAAUAGGAUAGGUGUUUAGUCAUCGUGUCCUGUUUUUCGCUGGUUGUGGCUUUGUUUAUCUUCAUUCAUUUUUAUGCUCCUCUUGCAAGCUGUAAUGGACUAGGCACUUUGUUCUGUUUGGAUUUUUUAAUAAAAUGGCCGCAUGGAUCAUUCAGAUUCAGAGGCAGGGGAUUAUCCUCCUUUUCAAAAAAGAAGAAAUUGGGCGUAAUGGCUAUAUAAUAUAAUCUAAACAUAUGUGAC
Molecule: long non-coding RNA, 3286 nt
Filed under: Triticum aestivum (bread wheat)
Lineage: Eukaryota; Viridiplantae; Streptophyta; Magnoliopsida; Poales; Poaceae
Description: long non-coding RNA (TAES_LNC010885)
Source: RNAcentral